RNAcentral lists this ribosomal RNA (450 nucleotides) under uncultured eukaryote. RNAcentral's name for it is "bacterial SSU rRNA". It matches the Rfam family "Eukaryotic small subunit ribosomal RNA", at positions 13 to 445 of the family's 1831-position model. The record is from RNAcentral.
CCUGCCAGUAGUCAUAUGCUUGUCUCAAAGAUUAAGCCAUGCAAGUCUAAGUAUAAUUGUUUUACGGUGAAACUGCGAAUGGCUCAUUAAAUCAGUUAUAGUUUAUUUGAUGCUAUAGACCGAAAGGUCACUACAUGGAUAUCUGUAGUAACAUAGAGCUAAUACAUGCAAUAUAGUCUGACUUUUUGGUAAGGACUAGCACUUAUUAGAUAUUAAACCAGUCCCAGCAAUGGGGUUUUAUUGGUGAUUCAUAGUAACUGAACAAAUCACAUGGUCUCGUACCGGUGAUGUUUCAUUCAAAUUUCUGCCCUAUCAACUAGAUGGUAGUAUAUAGGACUACCAUGGUUGUAACGGGUAACGGGAGGAUUAGGGUUUUGAUUCCGGAGAAGGAGGCAUGAGAAACGGACGUACUAUUUCUUAAGGUAAAGGACAGCAGGCGCGCAAAUUAUU